RNAcentral lists this long non-coding RNA (600 nucleotides) under Sus scrofa (pig). RNAcentral's name for it is "lncRNA (ENSSSCG00070010573.1)". The stretch from base 351 to 427 matches the Rfam family "Small nucleolar RNA SNORD113/SNORD114 family". The record is from RNAcentral. Lineage: Eukaryota; Metazoa; Chordata; Mammalia; Artiodactyla; Suidae.
UCUUAUUCUGUGGUAGUGUCGGAUUUGAUACUGUUCUUUUUUUAAAGAGGAAAAUGAUAGAUAUGAUAUGAAUGUAUUAUAUUCCUAAGUGACUGACUGCAGGAAGGUGGAAUGAGAAGUGACCGUCAGUUAAUUGAGUCUAUUGCAACCUUGAUGCUUGUUAAUAAGGAUCAGUAGAAUCUCUCAGUAUUGUUAUUAUUUCUCCUGCUGCGCAUGCCUCAGAAUGGAUAUACUGGCACCUGUCUGAGCUUUUGGUUGUGGUCAGACGCUCCCUGGAUGACUUCCUGUGUAAGAGCAUGGAGAGCAGUUUAGCAGAUGUGGAGGAGAAUGAAGAAGAAGAGUCUGGAGCUCGGACCAAUGAUGACGACUGAUGGCGCAUGAGUCGUAUAUACGAUGAAUACUAUGUGUCUGAAACUCUGAGGUCCAGCAGAGAGAAUGUGCGAGAAAGACUGUGUAUGUGGAUGCCUGGGUCACUUUGUUGUUCAGCAGAAACUGGCACAACAUGAAUCAACGCCUCAGCUGAUUUCAGCUUCUGCCACGAUCAAGACUGUCCUGCUGCCACCGUUUUGUAAAAGACCAAGACUGGACUCAGCGAGAUGA